RNAcentral lists this ribosomal RNA (508 nucleotides) under Parachauliodes continentalis. RNAcentral's name for it is "partial large subunit ribosomal RNA". The stretch from base 387 to 508 matches the Rfam family "Bacterial large subunit ribosomal RNA", at positions 2473 to 2594 of the family's 2925-position model. The record is from RNAcentral. Lineage: Eukaryota; Metazoa; Arthropoda; Insecta; Megaloptera; Corydalidae.
GUCUUUUUGAUUAUAAUUUAAAGUCUAACCUGCCCACUGAAUAUUUUGAAGGGCCGCGGUAUUUUGACUGUGCAAAGGUAGCAUAAUCAUUAGUCUUUUAAUUGGAGGCUUGUAUGAAUGGUUGGAUGAGGUAUUAACUGUCUCAAUUUAAUAAAUAAUAGAAUUUUAUUUUUAAGUUAAAAAGCUUAAAUUUUAUUAAAAGACGAGAAGACCCUAUAGAUCUUUAUAAUUAAUUUUAUAAUAAUUUUUUAGAUUAAAUUUAUUUUUAUAAGAUAAAUUAUUAUAUUGGGGUGAUAAAAAAAUUUAUAAAACUUUUUUUAUAUUUAAACAAUGAUAUUUGAUUAAUUGAUCCAUUUUUUGUGAUUAUAAGAUUAAGUUACCUUAGGGAUAACAGCGUAAUUUUUUUGGAGAGUUCAUAUCGAUAAAAAAGAUUGCGACCUCGAUGUUGAAUUAAAGGUUAAUUUUAGGUGUAGAAGUUUAAAAUUUUGGUCUGUUCGACCAUUAAAUC